RNAcentral lists this ribosomal RNA (200 nucleotides) under uncultured organism. Its description in RNAcentral is "partial small subunit ribosomal RNA". It matches the Rfam family "Bacterial small subunit ribosomal RNA", at positions 1183 to 1382 of the family's 1533-position model. The record is from RNAcentral.
CGUCAAAUCAUCAUGCCCCUUAUGAUCUGGGCUACACACGUGCUACAAUGGUGACUACAAAGGGAAGCGACCCUGUGAAGGUGAGCAAAUCCCAAAAAGGUCAUCCCAGUUCGGAUUGUAGUCUGCAACUCGACUACAUGAAGCUGGAAUCGCUAGUAAUCGCGAAUCAGAAUGUCGCGGUGAAUACGUUCCCGGGUCUU